UCUUAUCAAGAGCAGGUGGAGGGAAAUAUGGCCCGAUGAAACCCAGCAACCGACCGUAAUAUCGUUGUGAAACGAGGCGCAGCUAGAGAUGUCUGCGCCCAAUGUAAGGCACGGUGCUAAUUCCAUUCAGAAUUUAUUCUGGAAAGAUGAGA
Molecule: non-coding RNA, 152 nt
Filed under: uncultured Cytobacillus sp.
Lineage: Bacteria; Bacillati; Bacillota; Bacilli; Caryophanales; Bacillaceae
Description: SAM riboswitch (S box leader)
Rfam family: SAM riboswitch aptamer (S box leader)
About the family: The SAM riboswitch is found upstream of a number of genes which code for proteins involved in methionine or cysteine biosynthesis in Gram-positive bacteria. The SAM riboswitch acts at the level of transcription termination control.
Source: RNAcentral